GAUGAACGCUGGCGGCGUGCCUAAUACAUGCAAGUCGAGCGAACAGACGAUGAGCUUGCUCCUCUGACGUUAGCGGCGGACGGGUGAGUAACACGUGGAUAACCUACCUAUAAUACUGGGAUAACUUCGUGAAACCGGAGCUAAUACCGGAUAAUAUAUUGAACCGCAUGGUACAAUAGUGAAAGACGGUUUUGCUGUCACUUAUAGAUGGUUCCGCGGCGCAUUAGCUAAUUGGUAAGUUAACGGCAUACCAAGGCGACGAUGCGUAGCCGACAUGAGAGGGUGGACGGCCAGACUGGAACUGAGACACGGCCCAGACUCCUACAGUAGGAAGCAGUAGGGAAUCUUCCGCGAUGGGCGAAAGCGUGAUGGAGCAAAGCCGAGUGAGUGAUGAAGGUGUGCGGAUGGGAGAACUCUGUAAGUAGGGAAGAACAAAUGUGUAAGUAACUAUGAACGUAUUGACGGUACCUAAUCAGAAAGCCACGGCUAACUACGUG
Molecule: ribosomal RNA, 497 nt
Filed under: uncultured bacterium
Lineage: Bacteria
Description: partial 16S ribosomal RNA
Rfam family: Bacterial small subunit ribosomal RNA
Source: RNAcentral